Gasterosteus aculeatus aculeatus (three-spined stickleback) is the source of this 1375-nucleotide long non-coding RNA. RefSeq lists it as uncharacterized. Lineage: Eukaryota; Metazoa; Chordata; Actinopteri; Perciformes; Gasterosteidae. The record is from RefSeq and is a predicted model, not a curated record.
UCACUGUCAAAAAUCCAUAUAAAAAAUUCGCGGGCAAAAGUCCAUCUCGCGCAAGCAAAAGUCGGUGAUUUGCCUCAGUCCUGUGAAAGCUGACAGAGAAGUAAGUUUGUUCCUCUCUAAAUGAGAUAAGAAAAUGAAGAAUAUGAAGAAUAACUGACAUUAAUUGAGUAUUUAUAUUGUAUAACCCUAUAAGUAUAACCCUUUUUUACAAAAGAAACAAUUAAGUGACUAGAGUUGUUUAAAAUGUUUAAGCUAGCGGUUAGAUUAUCUUGGUUAGCAAAAGCGGUUUCCAAAUAGUGGUCAUCAAUUUUUUAAUGCAGUUUAGCGUUUUAGGCAAACGUAAUGCUCUCUUUAAUACAAUAUAUUAACCUUAUACGUUUGUGAUAACCAUAUACUAAUGAAGCAACACAAUAUGAAAUAAAAGAAACGUUUUAGAAAAUAAUGUGUACUAACCUACUACAUAGCUUUUUCUUAAUGCUUUGUGUUUAUUUUAAUAUUUCAGAAUGGCAUUAAAGACGCUUUUGACAACAAAGCCUCCAACACCCUAUUUUCGCCCCCCGCCAAUCCACCUAUGUGUGGUGUUGGUGGUGGAGCAGCCCAGGGUGGUGGCCUGGGAGUUUGACUCAAAUGGUGCGAGACCAGCACAGACAAAAAUUAAUAUUCUGGCCGCACUAACAGAUGGAGAUUCAGUGGCCAAAGUCACUGUAUUCGAGGAGUUUGGCAAAAGAUUUAAGGAGGGUGGGAGUUAUAAUGUAAAGGGGCUGUCCCUGAGAGGGCAGUCCCCCCCCAUAUCAAUUAAAUAUAACUAAGGACACGCUGUUCUUUAGGAGCGCUCCUAUAGCGCUCAGUGCAGCGCUCAAACUUGAAGCAGAGCUUCUAAUACACCCCCCCUCUCCACUGACUCCGCUGAGCACCUGCCGGGAUGCCAGGGGCCUGAUAACCGUGGAGGGCGAGGUGGUCGAGGUAAAUUAAGUUUCAGCCUACGGUGGUUUAAAAAGGAAACAGGUUUAAUAUUAGCUGCAAAUUGGUAUAAAAUGUCAAUUAACUGAAACAUCCAUUUUGUUCAGCUGUCAGCUUUAAAAGAAAUCGCGACAGGGAGAGACGUCGUUCCAUUGCGCAACGUCACGAUGCAGCAGGGGGAAUCACAGAUGUCGCUGUGUUUCUGGAGGGAGGCGGCCGUAUGGCAGCUGCAGGUGGGGGCCCACAUUAAAGUUUCCCAUCUUAAAGCUGGGAGGUCUAACUAUGGGCUCAGACUCCAGUCCACAAACUUUUCCACCAUCGAGGAGGUACGCUCAGAGGACAUCGUGGGGGCACUCGGGGUGAUGGAGAUUGAGGGAGAUCCGUGGAACCUCAACCUUCUCCUAGAAGAUGGCCG